This 71-nucleotide transfer RNA is filed under the name Loxodonta africana (African savanna elephant). It matches the Rfam family "tRNA". From Rfam's summary of the family: Transfer RNA (tRNA) molecules are approximately 80 nucleotides in length. Lineage: Eukaryota; Metazoa; Chordata; Mammalia; Proboscidea; Elephantidae. The record is from Rfam by way of RNAcentral.
GCAGCGAUUGUUCAGUGGUGGAAUGCUUGCCUUCCAAACGGGAGACCUGGGUUCGAUUCCCAGCCAAGGCA